Molecule: non-coding RNA, 71 nt
Organism: Podospora bellae-mahoneyi
Lineage: Eukaryota; Fungi; Ascomycota; Sordariomycetes; Sordariales; Podosporaceae
Source: the annotation of a RefSeq genome assembly
AACCUCGUAGUAUAGCGUAUAGCACGCCGACUAUUCUGCUAGAGGCGUAGGUUCGAAUCCUGCCGAGGUUC